Molecule: long non-coding RNA, 1739 nt
Organism: Vicia villosa (hairy vetch)
Lineage: Eukaryota; Viridiplantae; Streptophyta; Magnoliopsida; Fabales; Fabaceae
Exons: 3
Source: RefSeq, a predicted model, not a curated record
UCAAAAAAACUUAAGCCCAAAACAUUCAUUUAACCCUAAUCUACAUUUGUUGACUGAAUUUUAUUUCAUUGUAGUAUGUGAUGCAGCCACGCAGUUCCAUCUUCAUCUUUCUUUCUCAAUAAUAGAACAAAUCAACCUCCUCCUUCUAACAAGAGCAGCAAAUCAAGAACUAAAUUAGAAAGCUUUCUCCUUCCACUUUGAUUUCUAUUCUAACAUUGUAAAUCCAUGGAAGAUGAAAAUAAAAUAAAGUGCCCUGUUUUUGAUGAAAAAUUACAUUGUUUUUCUUUCUUUUUUUCUAUUUCAAUUGUUAUUCACGGUCACAGGUCUGGUUUUGAGUACCAUGAAUACGAGUGAUUAUCCAAAAAAUACGGAGAUAGGCGUGGAAACUAAACAUUGGGCAAUGAUGUUGUACUUUGCUUGGGUAAAUAAAACAAAUGUGUACCCAUGCCCUUUUAUCAGCCAUACUGCUAUCACUUCACCAGCAAUACGGUUUCUAUUGAUUAUUUUCUUGAAGGGAAGAAUGGAUACCAGAUUUCUACCAUGAAGCUACCAUAUCAUAUGCGUGCAAACUCUUGAUUCAGGAAGAUUGAAUAUUAUUCCACGCUCACCUAGAAGAGCCUAAAUUAAUAGAAUUAAUGCAACUCUUCAGUGAAUACAAAGCUUCCACCAUGUUAGCCUAAAUGCAGCAGCACAGCACAGGUACAUCAUACAUGAAACAAAUGAUUUAAGUCAAUGUUGUGUUUGUCUCUUGUUCAUGUUACCAUCAUACAUUGAUUAUUUUCUUCUGUUAUAAUUAUAUUCCCUAAUUAAUACUAUGUGAUGUUUAGGGAUUUGAAAAAUCAUGUUGAACGCAUUCAUAAACAAAGGAGUCUUUAGAAACAUAUAGACACAUUGAACACAUUAUAUGCUUGUUACAACACAAUGAAUAAAGAAUUGUGGUGGUUUGUAGUCCUAAACAACAUACCGGGUGUGCACUGUAUGAAGUAACAAAAUGAUUCAUUUUCCUAGAAAGUAAAAAAGUCAUUGAACGUAAUUAAAAAAGAUAAACGCUAAUACGUGUCCUCAAAGUCAAUGUUUAUAAUUUAAUGGAGAAGUGUUGUCUAAUUUGAUAAAUUUCUCUUAUUUAAUUGUAAUUGUCCGCAACUUAAAGUAUGGUUGGUUGAUUUUAACACGGUUACAACGACGAAGAUAAUUAACCAUCAUUAUGUUGUCAACGUAACCGAAAGUGAUUCAAUUACGUCUUAAACAAAGGUGAUACUAUCAUAUCUGAAGGUGAUUCAUUUACCUUCGUAAACCAAGGUGAUACAAGGUGGUCUAUCGAUAGAUGUAUCACAAUUUGUAUUCAAAGGUGAUCCAGUCAGAGAACACAAGAAUGUGAAUCUAUAAUAGUUGUCUAAUUCAAAUGUUAUGCAAUCACCGUUCUAAACCAAGGUCAUCCAAUCGUAAACGAGGGUGUUCCUGAGUUGAGUUCUUUAUAAUGUAUUUAUAUUUAAUUUUCAUUAUGAGCCUAAUAAGUAGCCUAUGUGAAUGAACCAUUUGCAGAUAAAAUAGAAAUAUAUAUUGAACAACUGUUUCUUCUAGACUUACGUAUAACUGUGAUUUAUGUUAUCCUCGCUAUGUUCUUGUUCUAUUUUAUGGACAGUUUUACCUGCGAAGUGCAACCUAGUUUAUUAGUUACCACAAUUUUAUUAUAUUGUUAUUUGGCCAACUAAUUUGAGUUGUUAGUGAGAACUUUCUAA